This 464-nucleotide ribosomal RNA is filed under the name uncultured bacterium. RNAcentral's name for it is "partial 16S ribosomal RNA". It matches the Rfam family "Bacterial small subunit ribosomal RNA", at positions 338 to 795 of the family's 1533-position model. The record is from RNAcentral.
CCUACGGGAGGCAGCAGUAGGGAAACUUCGUCAAUGGGCGCAAGCCUGAACGAGCAAUGCCGCGUGAACGAGGAAGGUCUUCGGAUCGUAAAGUUCUGUUGAAGGGGAAAAAGAGCGGAGAGAGGAAAUGGUCUCCGAUUGAUAUUACCCUUCGAGGAAGUCACGGCUAACUACGUGCCAGCAGCCGCGGUAAUACGUAGGUGGCGAGCGUUAUCCGGAAUGAUUGGGCGAAAAGGGUGCGUAGGCGGCCUGCUAAGUCUGGAGUGAAAGGUACCGGCUCAACCGGUACAGGCUCUGGAAACUGGCGGGCUAGAGAGCAGGAGAGGGCGGUGGAACUCCAUGUGUAGCGGUAAAAUGCGUAGAUAUAUGGAAGAACACCAGUGGCGAAGGCGGCCGCCUGGCCUGUUACUGACGCUGAGGCACGAAAGCGUGGGGAGCAAAUAGGAUUAGAUACCCGUGUAGUC